GAUGGGCAAUCUAAGAGGACUAUC
This 24-nucleotide non-coding RNA is filed under the name Arabidopsis thaliana (thale cress). Lineage: Eukaryota; Viridiplantae; Streptophyta; Magnoliopsida; Brassicales; Brassicaceae. The record is from RNAcentral.